UCCCUGGUGGUCCAGUGGUUAGGACUCUGUUUUCCCAAUGCAGAGGGCCUGGGUUCAUUCCCUGGUCAGGGAA
This is a non-coding RNA of Bos taurus (domestic cattle), 73 nucleotides long. NCBI's taxonomy places the organism in Eukaryota, Metazoa, Chordata, Mammalia, Artiodactyla, Bovidae. The record is from Rfam.